RNAcentral lists this long non-coding RNA (1905 nucleotides) under Homo sapiens (human). Its description in RNAcentral is "HSALNT0060791". Lineage: Eukaryota; Metazoa; Chordata; Mammalia; Primates; Hominidae. The record is from RNAcentral.
GCCCACUAGUUCUUUACUACCUUGUUAUCUCUCUAGUAUCUUCAAGCAUAUCUUUUUUAAAACUGUUCCUAGUUUUUCUUGAUAUCCUGAAUGAAUGACCUAUUCUUCUUUCAAAAAAGGCACAGGGUUCUUUUUUAUGCCUUCUUGUUCCUUCUUCAUUUUACUAAUAUUCUCUUUUACAUCCUUGAAGGUAUUUCUAAUAUUUAUUGUGCUUAUUUUCCACUGUUGGCCUGUGAUAAACAUUUUAUUCAGUUUGUUGUAUAGCUUUUAUAGUUCCUCAGGUGUCUACUGAUUUUGGCUUAUGAAAUUGUGUUUCCCUGGUGAUUAUGAGAUUCUCAGCCUGAUCAUGGAUAAGGGAUACGAAUAAAGUCUGCCCCUGCUGGUGAAUAUGAAGAGAGGAGUGGGGAUGAGCCUCAGGAUGGAGAGCCUCAGCUGGAAAAUGGAAUGAGAUCAGAAGAGACAGACGGAAACCAUUCCCUAUUCUAUGAAAGAUCUGGGUUUCAGAGUUAUCAGAUAAUUUGAUGAACUGGUUGGAUGAGUAUGAUGAAUUAAUAGAAAGGAUAGAUGAUGGAUCAGAGAUGGAAUGGAGUGAUCUGUGAAUGGGUGAGUUGAUGGGUGGGUAGAUGAAUAGAUGAAUGUCUGGAUCAGUGGAUGUAUCUAUGUAUGAAUGUAUAAAUGGUGGAUGGAGUAAAUUAAUAUAGAUAAAUGGAUAGAUAGGUGGAUAGAAGGAUGAUCGAUGGAUUGAUAGAUGCCAUACUGAAAUGUCUGGAUAGAGGAAUGGCUACAUGUAAAUAUAUGUAAGUUUGCAUCAUAUGUGUGAAUGGAGUAAUGAAGUAGGUCGCUGGAUGUUUGAUGGAUAGAUGGAUAUAACAGAUGAAUAGCUACAGAACUAGACAGAUGGAAAUGAUGGAUAAUGAGCAAUUGCAUAACUGAGUGGUGGCAGUGGAUAAUGGGAUAGAUGAUAACAGAAUGAGCUCUGAAAUUAGACCUGUAUUUGCAUCCUGACUUCGGAUAUCAGCUGUGUGACAUUGGGUAAGAUCUUUUAAUUUCUCUAAGCCUAGGAAAAAAUUUAAAUAUUCAAGAAAAUAGCCAUAACUCACAGUGAAAACUCUAAAGGGAAAAUUUUGUUUAAAAUAAGUACUUGUCAGAAUAAAAACAUCGAAGAAUAAAUAUCAUUAGCUGAGAGUGGUUCAGGGCUUAUUUGAAAUUAACUUUUUGUAAAUAAAAAUUUUAAAAGUGGAGAGCUGUGUUCUAAUGUCUAGUGGUAAGACUUGGAAACAUCUAACUAUGAAGUAAUAUUAAUACAGUCUGGGCACGGUGGCUUAUGCCUGUAAUCCCAGCACUCUGGGAGUCUGAGGCAGUCGGAUCUCUUGAGGUCAGAAGUUUGAGACCAGCCUGGACAAUAUGGUGAAACCCCAUCUCUACUAAAAAUACAAAAAUUAGCUGGGCUUGGUGGCUCAUGCCUGUAAUCCCAGCUACUUGGGAGGCUGAGGCAGGAGAAUCACUCCAACCUAGGAGACAGAGGCAGAGGUUGCAGUGAGCCAAGAUCACGCCAUUGCACUCCAGCCUGGGCAACAGAGUGAGACUUCGUAUGAAUAAAAAAGAAGAAGAAAAGAAAUAAUAUUAAUGCAAAACAUUUUACAAAUUAUAGUUACAAAAUAAAAUAUAAAUGCUGCUUAUGUAAAAUGUUAAUAUGACAAUAUGUGAAGAUGGGGGGAAGAGAAGGAAGGAUGCUUUGUAUCUAAUGUCCUUGUCUUUCAUAGCAGGGAAUCAAAAGCUAAUACCUAAACUGAAGUAUGGAAUGUAAAAACGAUCACUCUCAAUGGUUUUUUUUCCCCAAAUCUCUUUUUGUAAAUAUAGAAGAUUAUUUUGUAAAAACUCUCAAGGCGAAUAAACAUUUAUUUG